GUGCACGCUGGCGGUAGGCCUAACACAUGCAAGUCGAACGGCAGCACCGUAAGAGCUUGCUCUUUCGGGUGGCGAGUGGCGGACGGGUGAGGAAUACAUCGGAAUCUACUUUUUCGUGGGGGAUAACGUAGGGAAACUUACGCUAAUACCGCAUACGACCUACGGGUGAAAGCAGGGGAUCUUCGGACCUUGCGCGAUUGAAUGAGCCGAUGUCGGAUUAGCUUGUUGGCGGGGUAAAGGCCCACCAAGGCGACGAUCCGUAGCUGGUCUGAGAGGAUGAUCAGCCACACUGGAACUGAGACACGGUCCAGACUCCUACGGGAGGCAGCAGUGGGGAAUAUUGGGCAAUGGGCGCAAGCCUGAUCCAGCCAUACCGCGUGGGUGAAGAAGGCCUUCGGGUUGUAAAGCCCUUUUGUUGGGAAAGAAAAGCAGCAGGUUAAUACCCCGCUGUUCUGACGGUACCCAAAGAAUAAGCACCGGCUAACUUCGUG
This 491-nucleotide ribosomal RNA is filed under the name uncultured bacterium. RNAcentral describes it as "partial 16S ribosomal RNA". It matches the Rfam family "Bacterial small subunit ribosomal RNA", at positions 29 to 507 of the family's 1533-position model. The record is from RNAcentral.